GACGAACGCUGGCGGCGUGCUUAACACAUGCAAGUCGAACGAUGAAGCCGGAGCCUGCUCCGGUGGAUUAGUGGCGAACGGGUGAGUAACACGUGAGCAAUCUGCCCUUGACUCUGGGAUAACUGCGGGAAACUGUAGCUAAUACCGGAUACGACACCUUGGGGCAUCCCAGGGCGUGGAAAGAAUUUCGGUCAAGGAUGAGCUCGCGGCCUAUCAGCUAGUGGGUGAGGAAAUGGCUCACCAAGGCGACGACGGGUAGCUGGCCUGAGAGGGUGACCGUCCACACGGGAACUGAGACACGGUCCAGACUCCUACGGGAGGCAGCAGUGGGGAAUAUUGCACAAUGGGCGAAAGCCUGAUGCAGCAACGCCGCGUGAGGGAUGAAGGCCUUCGGGUUGUAACCCUCUUUUAGCAGGGAAGAAGCGAAAGUGACGGUACCUGCAGAAAAGGCACCGGCUAACUACGUGCCAGCAGCCGCCGUAA
Molecule: ribosomal RNA, 483 nt
Filed under: uncultured bacterium
Lineage: Bacteria
Description: partial 16S ribosomal RNA
Rfam family: Bacterial small subunit ribosomal RNA
Source: RNAcentral